Molecule: long non-coding RNA, 328 nt
Filed under: Elaeis guineensis (African oil palm)
Lineage: Eukaryota; Viridiplantae; Streptophyta; Magnoliopsida; Arecales; Arecaceae
Description: long non-coding RNA (EGUI_LNC022647)
Source: RNAcentral
AUAACGCAAAUUGUGUCUAAAAGAGAACCAGAAUAAUUGGUAACUUCUUCAAAUAGAUUUACAUUACUCAAACAAAAAGAGAGGGGCCAUGCAAUUGCAAACUUGUCGCUAUAGGAGGUUUUCCUCUACUUUUUUAAGCUCGGGAGCCGGCCGUAUGAGCUUUAUAGAGUGCUUGUGCAUGUUAACUGACUCAAUUUCACAUUAUUCUUACAAAUUGUGGACCCAUCUAUCAUCCUUCAUUAUUUAAGAUAACAUGGCCAUCAAUCUGAAGUGGUCCAUGAUGGGCCACACUUUUGCUUGAUUAGAAAGCCCAUCAGCCCCUCCGGAA